GACGAACGCUGGCGGCGUGCCUAAUACAUGCAAGUAGAACGCUGAAGAGAGGAGCUUGCUCUUCUUGGAUGAGUUGCGAACGGGUGAGUAACGCGUAGGUAACCUGCCUGGUAGCGGGGGAUAACUAUUGGAAACGAUAGCUAAUACCGCAUGAAAUUGAUUAUCGCAUGAUACUUAAUUGAAAGAUGCAAUUGCAUCACUACCAGAUGGACCUGCGUUGUAUUAGCUAGUUGGUGAGGUAACGGCUCACCAAGGCGACGAUACAUAGCCGACCUGAGAGGGUGAUCGGCCACACUGGGACUGAGACACGGCCCAGACUCCUACGGGAGGCAGCAGUAGGGAAUCUUCGGCAAUGGGGGGAACCCUGACCGAGCAACGCCGCGUGAGUGAAGAAGGUUUUCGGAUCGUAAAGCUCUGUUGUAAGAGAAG
This 429-nucleotide ribosomal RNA is filed under the name Streptococcus sanguinis. Its description in RNAcentral is "bacterial SSU rRNA". It matches the Rfam family "Bacterial small subunit ribosomal RNA", at positions 28 to 447 of the family's 1533-position model. The record is from RNAcentral. Lineage: Bacteria; Bacillati; Bacillota; Bacilli; Lactobacillales; Streptococcaceae.